UAGCCUGGGAUGAAGCUUCGUCA
RNAcentral lists this non-coding RNA (23 nucleotides) under Mus musculus (house mouse). The record is from RNAcentral. Lineage: Eukaryota; Metazoa; Chordata; Mammalia; Rodentia; Muridae.